RNAcentral lists this ribosomal RNA (489 nucleotides) under uncultured bacterium. RNAcentral's name for it is "bacterial SSU rRNA". It matches the Rfam family "Bacterial small subunit ribosomal RNA", at positions 28 to 528 of the family's 1533-position model. The record is from RNAcentral.
GACGAACGCUGGCGGCGUGCUUAACACAUGCAAGUCGAACGGACGAGUGAGAUAAGUUUACUUAACUCACAAGUUAGUGGCGGACGGGUGAGUAACACGUGGAUAAUCUACCUGCAACACCGGGAUAACGCUGUGAAAACGGUGCUAAUACCGGAUACGUUCCCUUGUGCGCAUGUAUGAGGGAAGAAAGCUCAGGCGGUUGCAGAUGAGUCCGCGGCUGAUUAGCUAGUUGGUGAGGUAAAGGCUCACCAAGGCGAUGAUCAGUAGCCGGCCUGAGAGGGUGAACGGCCACACUGGGACUGAGACACGGCCCAGACUCCUACGGGAGGCAGCAGUGGGGAAUCUUCCGCAAUGGGCGCAAGCCUGACGGAGCAACGCCGCGUGGGUGAAGAAGGCCUCGGUUGUAAGCCUGUCUUAUGGAGAAGUCAGUGACGGUACCACUAGGAGGAAGCCACGGCUAACUACGUGCCAGCAGCCGCGGUAACGAGU